AUUGAACGCUGGCGGCAGGCCUAACACAUGCAAGUCGAGCGGCAGAAGGGAACUUGCUCCUGGAUUCAGCGGCGGACGGGUGAGUAAUUCCUAGGAAUCUGCCUGUCAAUGGGGGAUAACGUCCGGAAACGGGCGCUCAUACGCCAUACGUCCUGAGGACGUACGUGGGGAAUCUUCGGAUCUCACGCUAUCAGAUGAGCCUAGGUCGGAUUAGCUAGUUGGCGGGGUAAAGGCCUACCAAGGCGACGAUCCGUAGCUGGUCUGAGAGGAUGAUCAGCCACACUGGAACUGAGACACGGUCCAGACUCCUACGGGAGGCAGCAGUGGGGAAUAUUGGACAAUGGGCGCAAGCCUGAUCCAGCCAUGCCGCGUGGGUGAAGAAGGCCUUCGGGUUGUAAAGCCCUUUUGUUGGGGAAGAAGAGCAGCAGGUUAAUACCCCGCUGUUUUGACGGUACCCAAAGAAUAAGCACCGGCUAACUUCGUG
This 484-nucleotide ribosomal RNA is filed under the name uncultured bacterium. RNAcentral describes it as "partial 16S ribosomal RNA". It matches the Rfam family "Bacterial small subunit ribosomal RNA", at positions 30 to 507 of the family's 1533-position model. The record is from RNAcentral.